GGACUACUGGGGUAUCUAAUCCUGUUUGCUCCCCACGCUUUCGAGCCUCAGCGUCAGUCAUGGACCAGUAAGUCGCCUUCGCCACUGGUGUUCUUCCGAAUAUCUACGAAUUUCACCUCUACACUCGGAGUUCCACUUACCUCUUCCACACUCUAGGUUAUCAGUUUUGAAGGCAAUUCCAAGGUUGAGCCCUGGGCUUUCACCUCCAACUUGAUAACCCGCCUACGCUCCCUUUACGCCCAGUAAUUCCGAGCAACGCUAGCCCCCUUCGUAUUACCGCGGCUGCUGGCAC
Molecule: ribosomal RNA, 292 nt
Filed under: uncultured bacterium
Lineage: Bacteria
Description: partial 16S ribosomal RNA
Source: RNAcentral